RNAcentral lists this transfer RNA (75 nucleotides) under Candidatus Babelota bacterium. RNAcentral's name for it is "tRNA-Thr". It matches the Rfam family "tRNA". Rfam says of the family: Transfer RNA (tRNA) molecules are approximately 80 nucleotides in length. RNAcentral also lists the same sequence under 1 other name. The record is from RNAcentral.
GCUGGCGUAGCUCAAUGGCAGAGCAGCUGAUUUGUAAUCAGCAGGUUAUCGGUUCAAGUCCGAUCGCCAGCUCCA